RNAcentral lists this unclassified non-coding RNA (320 nucleotides) under Hevea brasiliensis (rubber tree). The record is from RNAcentral. Lineage: Eukaryota; Viridiplantae; Streptophyta; Magnoliopsida; Malpighiales; Euphorbiaceae.
AGCAACUCCCUUUGUUGUAUGCAACUUCAUGCAAAGGCAAUCCAUAUUAAUCAAAAUCCCAUUACUAUUUAGAAUAGGCCUCCCUAAUAUGACAUUAUAAGGAAUGUCAAUGACUACAAACUCAACAUAAAUGUUUCUUCGGAAAGUACCAUCACUUAACCCCAUAGCGAGUUAACCAUUCUUGCCACCGGGACUAUUUUAUCUCCCAAUCUGACUAGAGGAUAAGCUCCCUUGGUUCAUUCUUUUGUAAUCCGAGCUUUCAUAUGCUUCUAGAAUGAUCAAAUUAACCAAACUACUCAGUAUCUACUAGAGUCCUCAUA